UUCCUGCUGGGAGGUCCGGCGCGAGUCAU
This 29-nucleotide small RNA is filed under the name Bombyx mori (domestic silkworm). RNAcentral describes it as "ovarian small RNA-37335". Lineage: Eukaryota; Metazoa; Arthropoda; Insecta; Lepidoptera; Bombycidae. The record is from RNAcentral.